This 23658-nucleotide long non-coding RNA is filed under the name Homo sapiens (human). RNAcentral describes it as "non-protein coding lnc-RWDD4-2:8". The record is from RNAcentral. Lineage: Eukaryota; Metazoa; Chordata; Mammalia; Primates; Hominidae.
GCGUCUGAAUGGGACCCGGGAGGGGAGGCGGCUCGGUCCUUCGUGCCGUCCUCCCCGCUGGGAGGGGCAGCUCCAGCUCCGCUCGGCUCGCUCCGCCCGGCCACACCGGCUUUUUCCCCAUCAGGCGGUCCGAGUGCGGCUCCUCGCGAGCCUGCAAAGGAGCAGCAGGCGGUUCCUUUUCGGACGACCUGGAGCGAGGCCUGCGGGACUGCGCGCCCCGGCGGGCGGCGUGCGGCUCCCGGCAUGCGCGGCGGCUGCGUUCCCGCCGCCUCCGAGCUCGCCUGGGGCUGCCGCCCGCCUCCUGCCGGGCCCUCGGGCUCGCCCGGCACCGCGGGGCUUGAUCAGGGAGGUAGGCGGUGCUCCCUCCGGCCCCCGGCGUCGUGUGCCCUGCGGGUUUCGUGGCCCUUCCCCUACGCUGGAAUCUUCUGUGUCAUUUAGGGGGAGGGGAUGCGGGACGGCAUCUGUUUGACAACGCAUUGGUCCCACAGACAGCCUUUAAAAACAACUGCUUUUGGGGGGUGUCAGAACAUUUAAGCACAGGACGUCGGUGAGGCUUCCUGGCGGAGUGGGGCACACGCCAGCUUUACGGGACUUUUUGCUCAGUCCUGCCCCAGGACUGCAAUCGGAGGGGACCUGGGGCAUGGAGGAGACGCGAGUGAAAACCUAGUCAGCGGGCGGGCCCUCGGCCCCAUAAUCUACGUGAUCUCCUAGUGGGGUUUAAUUUCGGUGUAGUGUAAAUGAGAUGUCAGGCAGAGGAGCUGAUUUUAAUUACAGAUGGACAUUUUUGAAAGAAAUGGGUGCAAAUAGAAUGAAUGCAUGGAUAAUUUUAAUGGAAUGCCUAUGUAAACAAGGCCAAUUGUGAGUACUACCUUUGAGUUAAAAUGUGAGUGAGUGGUGACAAAUUUGGAUCUUCUUAGAUCCAGUUUGCAGCGUUGGUACACCUGAAUGGUGACCUAUUUAGAGCACUUUUGAAACAGCUGUUAAUAGUAACUAGCCUUUGACUUGCAAAGAGAAAUCUAGAUCUUUAUCUAGAGGAAAUUUUAAAUUUCAAACCAAAAUAAAGCACUCCAGGCAAUUUGACAUCUUGGGACGUCAACUAUUUCAAAGGACUGGGAAAUUGUCUUGGGUUAUUAUCCUAGGACACUGAGGUUUGGGCCAGUAUUAAGCAACCCAGACAGUACAGUGGAUAGUAUUUCUGAGAACAUUCUGGGAUUUUACUGUUCGUGAAAUCUUUCGGCCGGGUCUUGUCAAAAAACCGCCACUGUGAAGAACUGAAUUUUACUGGUUUUUACUUGAACCCUGCUAUUUUUGUUUUCUCACAAGUUUGAAUAAGCUGGUCUUUAUCAAAGGCGCAAAAUAAUGUGGGGUGCCUUGUUACAGGUCAGACACCGAAUGUACCUAUGGAUUUUAUUCAGUCUGAUAAGUGAUCUGCAAGUAGAUAAGAAAUGUGUUUAGAAACUAGAAGGGGAAAAAGGCAAAGAUGCAGAAUACCUAGAGUACUCCAGAAACAGAGCAAGAUGAGAGGAGGGAUGAGCAUGGGAUAGGAGACAUUUAUAGCAUUAUUGUCACCUUUUAUAAUUCUGUUGAACAGGCUGGUAAAAAAGCAAAAACAAUCCAAAGAAUAUUUUAGCUGGUACUGAUCUAAAACUGUAAAACACUGUAAUAUGAUAAUAUAUGUAUAUGUAUGAAUUAUUUUAGGCAUGCUUUUCUUGCUAUAUUUAUUUUAAGAGAUUAAUCUACGGCUUAUUCUUGCCACCCCCAAAAAAAAUCGCCACAAACCCUAAACCCAACUCUUGACCUUGGUUAUUGAGCGCUGUCCUUCCCUUCUGAGUGGUCACUUAACUGGAAAUAUGGGGCCUCUUCAGAUUGAAUUUCUUGUCUUCUAAAUGCAAAAUUUAAAAUCUCCCGUUCUCAGCAACUAGAAAUUAAUUUAUGGUAUUUAAUCCUGUGAAUAAAGCAAAAAGGCAUUUUAUUUGCUCUACAGUGUAUUAUCUACCAUAAAGCAACCCUAAAAAAAAGAUAAGUAACUGAUCUCCCCAAAUUAGUCUGGGAUUACCUUGAAUUUCUAAGUCUGACUUUAAGAGGUCCCUGGCAGGAAAUGUGUACGCCUCCGUACCUGUCUCUUGGGGAGAGCAACAACUUCAAACUGGUUGAAAACAAACUGGCAAGUAAUGGUGAAAGAUUCCUAAAGAUGCCUGCUGAGAAAAUUCAGCUUCUGUUUGAGUCAGAUCAAAUAAAUGAAAUCCUUUUCUUUUUUCUACUUUUUAAUAUUUUUAAACUUUUAUGGAAAUUUUCAAAGGCAAAAGUAAUACUACAAUAAAUCCUUAUAUACCGUCUACCCAGCUUCAACAUUUAGCAACAUAUGGCUAAGAUUAUUUAAUCUAUAGCCCUUCACAUUCCCUCACUCUUGCUGGAUUUUUAUCAUUUUAUCUGUAAAUACUUUAAAUAUGAAUAAUAUGAAUAGGUAAAAUAUAAUAGUUGUUUUUUGUUUGUUUGUUUUUGAGACUGAGACUUGCUUUUGUCGCCCAGGCUGGAGUGCAAUGGGGCGAUCUUGGCUCUUUGCAACCUCCGCCUCCCAGGUUCAAGCGAUUCUCCUGCUUCAGCCUCCCAAGUAGCUGAGAUUACAGGUAUGUGUCACCAUGCCCAGCUAAUUUUUGUAUUUUUAGUAGAGAGGGGGUUUCACCAUGUUGGUUAAAGCUGGUGUGGAACUCCUGACCUCCAGAGAUCCGCCCGCCUUGGCCUGCCAAAGUGCUGGGAUUACAGACGUGAGCCACCAUGCCUGGCCAAGAUAACAGUUUUUUAAGCAUAUCCGUAAUACCAUGUAUUCUGCCUCCCCAAAUUUUCUUACUAUCAUUUAAUAACUACACAAUUCAAAUUUUCCUAUUGUCUCAGUAAAUCUUUCACAUUUGGUUUAACAGGAUCCAGCAAAUCCCAUGCAUUUUAUUUGGUUACUGAGGUCUUUUCCAAACCAGUAAGAGGCAGUUAAUUCCCUGUUUAAUUCAGUGAAGCAGAGAGCAAUGUUUUUCUGAGGAAGAUAUUUAAGUAGUUUAAAAUCACUGCUUUAAAUAUGGAGAAAUUCAAGAAGAAAUCCUCAUAUGAAAAGUCACCAAUUGAUAGCGUGUUGUAAGAAAUGUAAUUGUACCUGAUGCAAAUAAAUAAAUCCUUAGUAAUCUAGGAGGCUGUGUUAGAGUGUAAUUUGUUCUAGAAGGUCCAGUGAAGCAUCUUAAAUUAUAGUGAAAAACCCUAAAACUUUAAAUCAAUUCAUUAGUACAAAAAGCAACUAAAGAAAAACCUAAUAGUCCUGUAAUCCCAGCACUUUGGGAGGCCGAGGCGGGCGGAUCACGAGGUCAGGAGAUCAAGACCAUCCUGGCUAACACGGUGAAACCCCGUCUCUACUAAAAAUGCAAAAAAUCAGCUGGGCGUAGUGGCGGGCACCUGUAGUCCCAGCUACUGGGGAGGCUGAGGCAGGAGAAUGGCAUGAACCCGGGAGGCGGAGGUUGCAGUGAGCGGAGAUCAUGCCACUGCACUCCAGCCUGGGCGACAAAGCGAGACUCCGUCUCAAAGAAAAAAAAAAAACAAAACCUAAUGGUGUGCGUCUCCACUGAACUCAGUUUUAAAGCAUUAAAGCAUUUUUUAUUACUUUAUUACAUAAGUAAUACACAUUAUUGUAGAAAAAAUUUAAAUAGAAAUAAAAAGAUAUAUAAAAGUCACUACAAACUGGAGAUAACUCUUCUCAAUAUCUAAAUAUACUCCAAGAUGUAAUUCCAUUUUAGCAGUUCUUUUGCUUUAAGAAAACACUUUGGCUAGGAUUGAAGUACAAAGUUAGGCCAGGUGUGGUGGCUCAUGCCUGUAAUCCCAGCACUUUGCCACGAGGUGGGCAGAUCACCUGAGGCCAGGAGUUCGAGACCAGCCUGACCAAUAUGAUGAAACCCCAUCUCUACUAAAAAUACAAAAAUUAGCCGGGCGUGGUGGCAUGUGCCUGUAAUCCCAGAUACUCAGAGGCUGAGACAGGAGAAUCGCUUGAACCCGGAAGGCAGAGAUUGCAGUGAGCCAAGAUGGUGCCAUUGCACUCUCCAGCCUGGGCAGCAAGAGCAAAACUCUGUCUCAUUUAAAAAAAAAAAAAAAAAAAAAAAAGGACAAAGUUAAGAAAAUAUCAGAUUCUGUAGAAGGAAUAUUAGAAAUCUGAGCAAUAUCACCCUGUACUUGGAGUUUAUGUGUUAGACUGCACAGAUUUAACUGGUGUAUACAGUCAAUCCUACUGCUUUAGAUUAUAGUACUAUUCAGCAUUUAGGAUGACUACUAAAAGCAAAAUAUGAUCCUAAAACGUUUUAACGAAGGGACCGUGUGAAUGACUGGGAUUGUAGUGAAGAGGAAAUUCGGUAUAAUAAGAUCUCAUAUUUUCAUAAACAAGAAAAAAGGCAAACGUAAUAUCCCCUUAGCUAUCCCAAAGAGAAAAAAUAGCACAUAUGGUAUACUUUGCAUAUUGCUGACCAGAAAAACAUUCAAUUUUCCCUGGUUAGUUACCAUAGUUACAUGAGCCCUUUAUAACAUCAAGAGGGGGAACUAGGUCACAGUUUUGAAGGAGUUUGAAUUAUGCAAUUAUGUUUUCUAAAAGCAGGGGAAAGGGUUUUUAAUUUAGAGAAGAGAGAUUUAUACUCUGUUCAAAAUUGAAAUUUUGGUCUAAUUUUGCUGGCAAAGCCUAAAAAUUUGUCCAAAAUUUAAUAGUUGAUAUAGUACAUAUAAAUUAUUCAACCUAUACAAAUAACAUAAUAGCUAGAUCCAUAAAAAUGACAUAUUCUGUCUUUGUAGAUAUCCCUUUUUCUCAAUGAGCUGUUAUCCAAAAAUGUUUUUGCAGGUAAUCAGGAAACCCAACAAUUGCCUAGCGUCUGAGAGUAGCCAAACCAUGUGUAAACUAAAGCCUUGAACUCUUCCGGUCUUUGAAAGUGUGAGGUAAAGGUUGGCACAGUGCCUGUCAGAUGCUACUCUUUGUUGUACAGCAAUUUUCCUAUUGAUUUCAUCAAAUGGAAGUGAGUGGCAGGAAGGGAAUGUAUUGAAAGUUGUGGUGGCACAGCCUUCACCCUUUAUAUAUAUUAUUAUUAUAAUUAUUUUUACUAAGAACCUUACAAAAAAGAUGUUUUUAUUUAAAAAAAAAAAAAAAGGCCGGCCUUGUGGCUCACCUGUAACCCCAGACUCUGGGUGGCCAAGGUAGGAGGAUCACUUGAGAACAGGAACGUGAGAACAGCUUAAGUAGCAGAGAGAUCCUGUCUCUGCAAAAAAUUAAAAAAUUAGCCGGGUGCAGUGGUGUGUACCUAUAGUAUCAGCUACUUGGGAGGCUGAGGCAGGAGGAUCCCUUGUGCCCAUGAGUUUGAGGCUGCAGUGAGCUAGGAUCGUACCACUGCACUCCAGCCUGGGCAACAGAGUGAGACCCUGUCUCAAAAAGAAAAUGCAUCUCAAGGUUGCAUGAUUUCAGAUAGUUGUUUUCAAUCUCAUGAUCACUCUAGACUCGUAAUUUUUUAAUGCUGAAGUUAUCUUAGAUCAACGAUUUCUCCAAAGGAAGGAAGAGCAGGCAACAGGCAGCUCAACUGGGUAGCUGGAGGAGCCAGUGUUGCUGAUGGUAGUUUAUCCUAACCAUCAUCUAUGUAAGGAUGGGGAAGAGGAUGGAGAUCACUAUUACAGAUCACCUACAGACCAGCUUUUUUACAGGUGAUAGUAUUGGGACGCAGAGAAGUUAGCUUGCCCAGUGUCAUAUAACAAUCCAUAAAAUAAGUAUAUACCUAAAAGUUUAAGAGUUAAACAAAUAAUUAUCUUUUUUCUGGCUGACAAUUAUUGAGGGGAGAAGCAGGCCCAUGGGAAAAAAUUAAGAACUCGGAUAUCAUAAAAUAUUUUUCUGUGAAGUCUCGCAGCAAAUUUAACAUCUCUGAAGGAAAAUUAGAAUUUCCUGGAGAAUAAUGUUUCAAGUAACCACCCAGUCAAAAGUACUAGAAACUGUGUAUCCUUUAUUCUUAUUUUAAAGGAUCAAUGCCUUAUGCUUUCAGCACUAGCUAAAGAAUAGUCUUUUAAAAAUGAAACUAAUGCUGUCGGCUAGGUGCUUUUUGCUAAAUCUAUUGUUUAUUUGAAGUACUUGAUUAUUUAAUGAGGUCUUAUUGGAGCUAUUGUUACAUUAAUUGCUCUUAGCAUGGUUAAUCCAAUAUUUGAUAGGUAUUGAUUAUCUUUCAUGGGUAACAGAUUUUUUUUUUUUUUUUGAGACGAGUCUCGCUCUGUCACCAGGGUGGAGUGCAGUAGUGUGAUCUCAGCUCACUGCAACCUCUGCCUCCUGGGUUGAAGCAAUACUCCUGCCUCAGCCUCCCAAGUAGCUGGGACUACAGGCGCACGCCACCACACCCAGCUAAUUUUUGCAUUUUUUAGUAGAGAUGGGUUUUCACCAUGUUGGGCAGGUUGGUCUCGAUCUCUUGACCUCAUGAUCUGCCCGCCUCAGCCUCCCAAAGUGCUGGGAUUAUAGGCAUGAGCCACCAUGCCCAGUAAGGGUAACAGAUAUUUAAAAAUUAUUUAUUUCCAUAAAUUGACAUUCUCUGACUGUUUUAUACAUGAAACCAGUAUAUCUCACUUUACACAAUACAUACAUUUCUGGAAAAUUGUAUUUAGAUCUUAUUUUGCUAAAUCAGGUAAUUUUAAAUGUGCCAGUUCUAUAAAAUGAGACCGAAAUUUUGAAAAUGAAAAUAUUCAUUUAAUACAAAUAAUUUAUCUUAUUUUAUUUAUUUUUCUCUGUUGUUACCUUGAGAAAACAUAGGUAGUGUUCAUUAACUGCAGUCUAGAUGUACUUUCAUUUUCUUGUUCUAACUAUACUGUAUAUUGCAGAUAUUUUAGUACAACAUCUUUUCAUCACAGAAAUGAUAUCUUCAGGGAAAAGACUUCGAAAAAGUGCCUGAAGUGACACAACACAUGUUUUCUUCUGGUAUCUGGCUAAAGUAAGUACGAAAAUUAGAUUAAAAACAAAGAUAUAAAAUAUAUGGGGGAAAAUUAUAUGGGAAGUAUUAGAAGCUAAAAAGCUAUAUAUUAAGGGGAAAUAGAAGAAUCAGAGAAAGAAAUGACUAUUUGAGCCAUUACUGAUGAUGGUAGAACAUUAAAAUUAAAAUUUAGGGACUGAGAUAUACAAAUUUUAUUUAUGGAGACUAUUUGUGAUACUUUUUUUAAAUAACAAAAAAUAUAGUUGCUGGCCAGGUGCAGUGGCUCACACCUGUAAUCCCAGCACUUUGGGAGGCCAAGGCAGGCGGAUCACUUGAGGUCAGGAGUUUGAGACCAGCCUGGCCAACAUGAUGAAACCUCACCUCUACUAAAAUACAAAAAUUGGCUGGGUGCAGUGGCAGGCACCUAUAAUCCCAGCUACUCAGGAGGCUAAGGCAGGAGAAUUGCUUGAGCCCACAAGGCAGAGCUUGCAGUGAGCUGAGAUCGCGCCACUGCAUUCCAGCCUGGGUGACAGAGUGAGAGACUGUCUCAAAAAAAAAAAAAAAAAAGUGUGUGUGUGUGUGUAUGUGUGUGCAUAUAUAUAUGUGUGUAUGUGUGUGUGUGUGUAUAUAUAGUUGUAAUACAGGGUUAGAGCAAUAGCAUAUCUAACCUAGUCUUUGACUUGAUAAUUGGUAUGUUGAUUAAAAAAUAACUUCAAAAAGCCAAGUGACUUCCUUAUAUGAUAUUACAUUUAGGAUAUCCUAAACAAUGUUAACUUUGUAUUCAGAUUAAAUAUCUCUGGAAAAAUAGUCCGGCAAUAUCUAGAGGCUUCAUUUAUCCUUUUGCACAUUUGUUUUUCUUUUUUUGGUAUAUGUAUUAUUUUAACAAAAAUCUAUGCUUCAUCUAAAAUAUAAAAGAAACAAAGAACUGGGUGGGUGCGGUGGCUCAUGCCUGUAAUCCCAGCACUUUGGGAGGCCAAGGCAGGUGGAUCACGAGGUCAGGAGAUCGAGACCAUCCUGGCCAACAUGGUGAAACCCCAUCUCUACUAAAAAAAAUACAAAAAAUUGCGUGAUGUGCGCGUGCCUGUAGUCCCAGCUAUUUGGAAGGCUGAGGCAGGGGAAUCGCUUGAACCCGGGAGGCAGAGGUUGCAGUGAGCCGAGAUCGUGCCAUUGCACUCCAGCCUGGUGACAGAGCGAGACUCCGUCUCAAAAAAAAAGGAAAAGAAACAAAGAACGUUAUGCACUUUCUAGAAUAACAAAAUGCAAAUGUAAUAUUAUCUACCAGGAAAAGAGUAGAUAAGUAGAUACACCAAAUAUUUGGAUUUAGUUCACUUUUAUGAUAAUUUUUUUUACUUAUUAGUCAUGUCUGAUCUUUGUAUACCAGCAUUCUAAUAACACAUAAAUUAUUACACAAAUUAAAGCAAAGAAGUACCACAGUUGGUAAAUUUGAAGCUUCUGAAGACUUCUCACUUUAGGAAUUAAUCUAGGCAGUUUUGGCUUAGAAACACAUUUUUUGUGAAAAAUUUUUAGCAGUUUAAGAGAAGUUGUAGGUAGCCCUCUUCUCAUUCAGUAUAGCCCUCAACUUGCUGCUAAGAGCUUUAACAAUUUUUGCAGGAUCUCACUUGAGUAUUUUAGGUUCAGAUGGAACAAUUCUUAUCACUUUUAUGAAUCAGAUGUUUUAAAAUUCAAAUUUAGAUUGAUGUUAUAUGUUAACACCGUCUAUAACAUCUGCCUACACCCUCGGAAGGGACCUAUGAAAUAUUAACUAGCCAAGGAAUCCUUUUCUGACUGUGGGCUUUUCUGUAGGAAUGAAAUCUGGCAGAAAUAUUUAAUGAAGAGGAAUCUGAACAUAGCAGUUGAGAAAGAAAGAUUGGGAGAAGACUCCAGAUGUCGUAAAGCAAAGAGAGGAUGAGGCACAGGAAGCAGCUCUUAUUAUUUCUGUUGCACUUUGGCUCAGAGAACUCCAAGCAAUUGAUUCUAUCCUGAGGACAUAUUUUUUCAAUUUGAGAUAUAAUUAAUUUGUUUUCCAGUAAAAUAGAUAUUAGUAGAUCUAUGACAUACAGGAAACAAUCGAAAAUAGAGAUAAGUGGUAAUAAUACCUCAUUACUUAAGACAUCUUUUUCAGAAAAUUAUUCUUCAGUGUGUGGUGCAUUGGCUUUCUAGGAAAGAACGGGAGGGAGAACCCUGCUGACAUGAAUAAUGGCCUGGGGGAGAGGGGGAGAGAAGCAAGAGAAAGGAGCAGUUAAGAGGAAAAUGAUGUCAUAUGGAAAGAAGGAAAUAGAUCAGGGCGUCUUUAAGAGCUAAUAUCAAUUGGGUUUAGUGUCUGUAUUUAGAGGAUGGGAGAGAAGAGGUAUCAUCUAGGGUUUUGGCUUGGGCCACAGGUAGAUCUUGUUAAGGCUGUACGAAAUAGAAAAUCCAGGAGGUAACGCAGGUGUGUGGGGGAAAUGAUACAAAUGUAAAUCAUACAAGGAUAUGAACCCUGUAGAUUUUACAACUUUGAGCUCUAUCCUUCUUAGGCCUUCUCUUCUAAGCAGCAUAAACUACUGCUGCCUACAUGUUGCCUGUUCAUAAAGGCUGAGGCAGGGGAGUCGCUUGAACUCGGGAGGCGGAGGUUGCAGUGAGCCGAGAUCAUGCCAUUUCCCUCCAGCCUGGCGACAGAGCAAGACUCCAUCUCAAAAAAAAGAAAAGAGAAGAAAAAAACAAAGAACUUUAUGCACCUUCUGGAAUAACAAAAUGCAAAUGUAAUGUUAUCUACCAGGAUAGAAAUUGGAGGCUAGAAUAUGUUGGGUAGGGUAGAGAGACUAGAGGGAAUGAUUUAGCAAUAAAAUAGGUUUAAAUAUCUUCUCACGUGCCCAGACUUAAUUAGCUUUGUAUUAUUCCUAUUAGUAAGCCAGGAAUUAGUACUAGGUGAUAAGCAAGGAUGUGCAGGGCCUUGUGAGGAAAAGAGUUACUGUAGCAGUUCUGGAUGCUUACCCCUUGCAUGUCUCCAGGGGAACCAUCUUUGACCUUGGCCAACCCCUGGAUUGCAAUCCUUGGAGUGUUCUUUAUGUUAGUGAUGAUGAUUUUGUUGUAUACACCUGGAGCAUUGGACCAUUCCAUACUGGCUCGCCAGGUUGCGUUGCACAAACACCAAGACUGAUAAAUAGGCACCUGGUUUUAUUAUUGGGCCCCUGAGUUUUGGUUGCCGUAGCCAAUUCCAUAGCAGAGUAUGAGUACAUGAACAGCCUCCCACAAAAGCCUUAAACCCUGAGACUCAAGUGGGAUUCUGUGGGCAGAGACAUUCCACACGUGUCUAUAGUUUGCUGAGAGAGAGACAGAAUUCCUGUGUAGCUGCAGACAAAGGACAACAGAAUCCUAUGUUGGACCUCUCUGGACUCCACUGAUACAUCUUUUCCUGUUGCUUUUGCCCUGUAUCCUUUGCUGUCAUUAAUCUGAGCCACGUAUUAAUAUAUAACCUGCUAUUGAGUCUUGUGAGGCCUUCUGGGAUCACCAAAGGAAACAACCAUAUACCUAGUACUGAAGAGAUUUUUUUAAAAGCCCAAUUUGUCCAUCUGAGUCUUGAUAGGAUUCACUGAAAAAGAAUAAUCAACAUAUGUGAGUAUCUGCAGUGUCGAGGUUUAAAUGAAAUCAAGGCUUUGGUCUUUGUCCAUGAGACAUUUAUAGUCUUUAUAGGGACAUGACACAUGUUAGGGAAAUGCUUAUAAGCAUAAGUAUAAAUAAAAGCAAAUUGGCAAUGAUGGCAGAAUUAAAGAGAGAUUAAAAUUGGUAAAAAUCAAGCAAGGCUAAUGAAAGAUGGUAGGUAUUUAAGAAGAGAUAUAGGACUGCAUUAUCAAAUGAUAGCCAUAAUUUUCCCCCAUAUGUACUUUAGCAGUAUGUAAAAACUGUAAAACAAAAAACUUUUUUCUUGGAUUUUAUCUGAUAUAUUCCAGGCUCAACUCAAGUUUGAUGAAUUAUUUGUACGGAAUCUAAAUUUGUACUAAAUCAAAAUUUAAGUGUUUUAUGCAACAAUUUUUUAUGAGCCCUCCAGUUACGGAUUUCAGCUGUGGGAUAAUGUUCUCAUGUGUUAUUAUCCCAGAGACUCCAUGCCAAGUCCUGUUAUAAUUAGUCACACCUGAUAAUUCCUUCAGUUGUGUGGUUAAGCUGCUCGUGUCCAAAGCAGUUUACCUGAACUACACAUGUGCAGGGCAGACUCUAAGCAGCCAAGAUUAAGAAGGAACUUUGAAGGUUCUGCUUCCUGUAAUGGCCAGAUAGCUCCUGUCAGAUCAGUGUUCCUGCAAAUAACAGCUAUACAUUCUGAACAGAAUUUAAAAAUCUACCAAAAGGCACUGGAGAGCAAGAAAAAGAAGGCAAAUUCUGGAUGGGAGUCCACACUUGGAAGAAGGAAAUAGCAGUUCAUGAGUUUCAUCAUAUAAGAAUGUCAUUUAGCCUGGGGGCAGGCCCUCAUCAGUACCAUGUGGAAUGACUAUAACUUUCAAACUUGCAGACUUACUGGCUUGAAGAGCCAGAGGUUGGAGUCCAGGACAACCACAGGUGGUGUAUGGUCUAAAGUUAAUACCAUGUAUUGCCUUGAUAUCUGGUAAAAUCAGGAGGCCCUUGAAUGGCCUAACUACAAGUUCCUGUCCACACUCCACUCCUUAGCUCAAGGAUCAGGCACAUUUCCUGCUUAUUCCUGAGUCACAGGUUUUAGUUCCCUGACAGCUUAUGGAAUUAUUCAUCCACACCAGUCACGUCCUCCCUCAGGAACCAGGAGCGACCUCAUCCUCUUGAUACUACAAAGCCUGCACCCGUGGUUGUUCUCUAUUUCCAAGUGCAGGCCCCACCUGGCCCCGUGUGGAGUGGGUGUUCUCUGCUAGGCUGUGAGUAUAUGUGACUAGUACACUGCUGUCAGUCUCAUCUGUGUAGUGUCUUGUGUUGUGUUUAGCUUAUUCCCAUAGCCUUACAGUAGAAAUCCCUCCCUCACCAAAGAGGCGAGGAGGAGGGAUGCAAACGCACAGCAAUGGGAAGUAGAGGAGAAAUCACAGAAAAGAGAGAUUCACAAAGGAGGAGCCUUAAAGACUAUAUAGAAAAUGCCCAAAUUUCUUGCCGAACCUAAACUACACAUGUGCACAGCAGACUCCAAGCAGCCCAUAUAAGCCUUAAAUAACUGAACUGAGAAGUUUGAGUUCAUCCAAGUGUCCAGGUUAGAAUCUAAAAUUACUAGGCAUACGAAAAAAUAAGAAAAUGUGACUCAAAGUCGAUCAGUUAUCCCAGGAUGAACCAGAUGUUGGAAUUAGAGACAAAAAUUUUAGAGCAGCUGUCAAAACUAUGCCCAAGGAUUUAGAGGAAAAUAUACUCAUAAUGAAUGAAAAGAUAGGAAAUCACAGAAGAGAAAAACCAUAAAAAAGAACCAAAGGUUAAUGCUAACAUUGAAAAUAUAAUAUUUAAAAUGAAAUUUUUGCUGGAUAGCCUUAAGAUCAGAAUAGAGGCCAGGUGUGGUGGCUCACAUCUGUAAUCCCAGCACUUUGGGAGGUGGAGGCAGGUCGAUCACCUGAGGUUGGGAGUUUGAGACAAGCCUUACCAACAUGGAGAAACCCGGUCUCUACUAAAAAUACAAAAUUAGCUGGAUGUGGUGGCGCAUACCUAUAAUCCCAGCCACUCAGGAGGCUGAGGCAGGAGAAUCGCUUGAGCCCAGGAGGUGGAGGUUGCAGUGAGCAGAGAUCACUCCAUUGCACUCAAGCCUGGGCAACAAGAGGAAACUCUGUCUCAAAAGAAAAAAAAGAUCAGAAUAGAAAUAACGUAAGAAAGUAUCUGUGAAUUUGAAGGUAAAGCAAUAGAAAUUAAUUCAAUCUGAAGAUCAGAGAGAAAAAUAAAAUAAGGAAUGGUGCCUAAGAGACAGGACAAUACAAAAAGAUCUAACGUGUAUAGGGUUCCAGAAAGGAAAGAGAAAAUGGAUGCCCAUUAUUUGCUGCUGCCAUGGCACGGGGGUACCCCUGUCCCCAAAUUGCGCCCAAAAGGCAACAUAGAGGAGACUGAGGAGGGGGUGGAAUAGGAGCCACAAGGAGCUAAAUGAGACCCAUCAUGACAAUGGCGCCAAAUGGAGAUGCUCCCAAAGAACUCUGGUCUGUAGCUGGAUCCAUUUCUGAUCUCUCCCUCUUCAUGGCUCAAAAGAUAUACGGGUUUUCCAGAACAGCCUUGUGGAUUGCAACCACUUUCUUUAUACUCCUGGCUGUUCUGUUGUCUUGGAGACUAAGUCACAAGUGGAACAACAGCAGCAACUAGAAGCAGCAGUGGAUACUUUCUAGGGCCUACCACGGGGCCUACCACAGGCUCUCCCUUCACUCCUGGAGAGAUCUAGAUUGUUACUGCCAUAUAUGAGCCAUCCUGGUGGGAGAAGUUUGAAAUUCAAGUCUCUAGACUGCUGAUUAUUUGGACUUUUUUUCUUUUUUUGAGACGGAGUCUCGCUCUGUCGCCCAGGCUGGAGUGCAGUGGCGCAAUCUCGGCUCACUGCAAGCUCCGCCUCCCAGGUUCACGCCAUUCUCCUGCCUCAGCCUCCCGAGUAGCUGAAACUACAGGCGCCCGCCACCACGCCCGGCUAAUUUUUUUGUAUUUUUAGUAGAGAUGGGGUUUCACCGUGUUAGCCAGGAUGGUCUCGAUCUCCUGACCUCGUGAUCCGCCCGCCUCGGCCUCCCAAAGUGCUGGGAUUACAAGCAUGAGCCACCAUGCCCGGCCGGAUUUUUUUUCUUUACUUUGGCACAUUGAUCUAUCUAAAGCAGGUCAGAAGAAUCCUCCUCACAGCGUUUCACAGAGAGACUCCCAACUUUCAACUGUGCCCUCCAUGCUUUUCUGCCCCAUUUUUUCUCUCCUCACUCAGAUACCACAGUACAUCAGUGCAGAGGGCUACUCCAUCUCUAGCCACCCUACCCCUUUGACUAGAUUUUUCCUAACUGGUUGAUCUCCUCGCUAUCCCAUCGUAGGGCAGGAACUGAUGCUAGUGGAGGGAUGUAUCCUUGACCAUCAAUCAGAAUGAGGAAGGAUGUGCACAUGGCAUGAAGCAGACAAAAUGCAUUACAGCUGUAGUGUAAAGUGGAUGCUGUGGAUUUCUAUGCAUGUUGUAAAGGAGGAAGGCCAGCAGCAAAUUCAGCCACAGAAUGGGAACCUUGGAGGACAGAGUAGGAGAUCAUUUCCUCUGUGCAUUUUGGCUGUUAGACUUGUACGUAUGUUUUAUUUGUUUUUUGAGACAGAGUCUCGCUCCCUCGCCCAGGCUGGAGUACAGUGGCGCAAUCUCGGCUCACUGCAACCUCCACCUCCCAGGUUCAAGCAGUUCUCCUGCCUCAGACUCCCAAGUAACUGGGAUUACAGGCACCCACCACCAUGCUCAGCUAAUUUUUUGUAUUUUUAGUAGAGAUGGGGUUUUGCCAUGUUGGCCAGGCUGGCCUCAAACUCCUGGCCUCAGGUGAUUCACCCACCUCUGCCUCCCAAAGUGCUCGGAUUACAGGUGUGAGCCACCAUGCCCGGCCUGUGUGUAUGUUUUUAAAAAGCCAGUGCUCACUUUUUGUAUUUAAAUUUCAAAAAUGAGGCUGGGUACAGUGGCGUGCACCUGUAGUCCCAGCUACUCAGGAGGCUGAGGUGGGAGGAUCACUUGAGCCCAGGAGUUUGAGACCAGCCUGGACAACAUAGCAAGACUUCCAUCUCAGAAACAAAAACAAAAAACAAACAAAAACAAAACAGAGCCAAACCAUUGAAAAGGAAAAAAUAAAAAGAAUAUCUUUAGAGUAACCAAAGGAAAAUGACAUUUUAUGAGGGGAACAAAGAUUUGAAAUGCCAUUGACUACUCAUCAGAAUCAAGUGAAAUGACAUAUUUAAAGUUCUGAAAAAAAAAAUCAACCCUUUAUCUGGAAAUAAUCAUACAGAUGAAAUGAAAAUAUCAUGCAAUAAUGAGGGCAAAUUAAAUACAUUUUUACUUAAAACGUAGAAUCUGUCACUAGCAGACCUGUGCUACAAGAAAUGCUAAAUGAAGUUCUUUAGACAGAAGGGAAAUAAUACCAGAUGGAAACCUGAAUGUUCAGGAAGGAAGGAAGAGGCUCAGAAAGGUAAAUAUGUGGGUAAGUAUAAAAGACUCCUUUUCCUCAUAAUUUCUUUAAAAUACGGGACUGUUCAAAGCAAAAAUUAUAACAAACCCUGUAAUGAAAUUUAUAACAUGGAAAUGUGAUGCAUUUGACAGCUAUAGCUUAAAGUACAGGUAGAGUGCAAGGGGCUUGUAUUUUUAUGUCAUGUGGCACAAUAUUAACUUUAAAAACACUAUGAAAAGUUAAGGUUGGUUAUUGUCAUCCCUUGGGCAACCACAAAAAAGCAACUCAAAGAGGUUUUCCUAAAUUCGUCCAUAGCAAUAAUUACAUUACAUUUGAAUAAACUAAAAACUCCAAUUAAAAUGCAAGGAUUGUCAGAAUGCAUUAAAAAGUAAGGCAAUUAUAUGCUGUCUAUCGAUGAUAUUUAAAUAUAAAAACAGAUAGGUUGAGAGUAAAUGGAUGGAAAACGAUAGGCACAAAAUAUAAGCAUAAGAAGGUUGGAGUGGCUAUUUAUCACAUAAUGUAGAUUUCCAGACAAAGAGAAUUAUCAGGGAAAAAAGGGACUUAUUUUUUUUGAGAUAGAGUCUCGCUCUGUCGCCAAGGCUGGAGUGCAGUGGUGUGAUCUCAGCUCGCUGCAGCCUCUGCCUCCCGGGUUCUAGCAAUUCUCCUGCCUCAGCCACCUGAGUAGCUGGGAUUACAGGCAUCUGCCACCAUAUCCGGCUGAUUUUUGUGUUUUUAGUAGAGACAGGGUUUCGCCAUGAUGGCCAGGCUGGUUGUGAAUUCCUGACCUCAGGUGAUCUGCCCACCUCCGUCUCCCAAAGUGCUGGGAUUACAGGCAUGAGCCACCGUGCCCAGUCUGGACAUUUCAUAAUAAAACAGUCACUACAUUAGAAAGAUAAUUGUAAGUGGGUAUGUACUUAACAGCACUUCAAAAUACUUGAAGCAAAAUUUGACAGAAUUAAACAUCUCUUCUUCAGGAAGUGAUAGAACAUGUUUAAAAAAUCAGUAAGGACAUAAGAGCUGAACAAAACCAUCAGUCACCUUGACCUAACUCACCUAACUGCACUCAACACCUGCAGAAGAAUGAACUAUAAUUUUUUUUUUUUGAGAUGAGUCUUGCUCUGUUGUCCAGGCUGGAGUGCAGUGGCAUGAUCUCAGCUCACUGCAAGCUUCGCCUCCUGGAUUCAUGCAUUCUCCUGCCUCAGCCUCCCAAGUAGCUGGUACUGCAGGUGCCUGCCACCACACCUGGCUAAUUUUGUUUAUUUAUUUAUUUAUUUAUUUAUUUUGUAUUUUUAGUAGAGACGGGGUUUCACCGUGUUAGCCAGGAUGGUCUCGAUCUCCUGACCUCGUGAUCCGCCUGCCUCAGCCUCUCAAAGUGCUGGGAUUACAGGCGUGAGCCACCGCGCCCAGCCAAAAAUGUUUAUGGUGAAUUUGAAAUAGGAUGUCCUUUUUUGAUAAUUGAAUCAUUUUUAUGUGCAAAGUUAGAUUUCCAUUUUUUUUUUUUUUGCUGGUUAAAAUAAUGUAACAUACAUUAAAAAUUUUACAUAUUCGAGUUUCUUUGUAAUGUGAUAAAUAACACUUGUCCUGAAACGAUGAACAUUUCUCUCUGAGGGAAGUACUGAGUUUAUUCUAAAGAGCAAAUAAAGGCUGGCUUAUAGCCAACUGUCAUUCCUUAGUAUCUUUAAAUUCCCCAGAAUCUUCUAAUAUACACAUUCCACCUCCUACGUUGUUUGAAAGUAACUGACCAAGACACAUUUUUUUCUUAAAUAGCACGUUUCCCUUUAAAGUUUUGUGUGAAUUGAGUUUUAUAAAUCCAUUUAAGAAAAUGAUUAGGAGAGCUAAAGAAGAGUUUUAAUAAAUCUUUAGGUUUUUGUUUAUAACACUACAUUUCACUGAGUAUUUUUGAUUUGUUCUUUACACUGACACUGAGGUAGGCGGCUUUUCACAGAUGAAGAAAUAGGCUUACAGAGGCCAGAUUCUAACAUGGAGGUCAGAUAGCUACUGAAUAGUGGAGCCAGGUCUUCUGGUUUCCAAUAAAAGUCCUUCCAUUAUCCUGUACAAAUUAAAAAAAUCUUUUUUUUUUUUUUUUUUUUCUUUUUUUUUUUUUUUUUUUUUGAGGCAGGUUCUCACUCUGUCGCCCAGGCUGGAGUGCAGUGGUCUGAUCACAGCUCACUGCAGCCUCGACCUCCCAGGCUCAAACCAUCUUCCUGCCUCAGCCUCCUGGGUAGCUGGGACCACAGAUGUGUGCCACCACACUAGAUUAACCUCUAUUUUUGAUACAGAUGAUGUCCCCCUAUGUUGCCCAGGCUGGUCUCAAACUCCUGGGUUCAAGUGAUCUUCCUGCCUCGGCCUCCCAGAUUGCUGGGAUUACAGGCAUGAACCACUGUCCGUGGCCUAAAAGGAUCUUUUAUUUUUAUAUUUUUAUUUUUAAUUUUUUUGAGAUGGAGUUUCACUCUUGUCAUCCAGGCUGGAGUGCAAUGGCAUGAUCACGGCUCACUGCAACCUCUGCCUCCCAGGUUCAAGUGAUUCUCCUGCCUCAUCCUUCCAAGUAGCUGGAAUUACAGGCACCCAUCACCAAGCCCAGCUAACUUUUGUAUUUUUAGUAGGGAUGGGGUUUCACCACAUUGGCCAGGCUGGUUUUGAACUCCUGACCUCAGGUGAUCCACCCGUCUCGACUUCCCAAAAUGCUAGAAUUACAGACAUGAGCCACCCCGCCCGGCCAAUUUUUUUUUUUUUUUUUUAAAUAAAGAUGAAGUCUCACUGUGUUGCCCAAGCUGGUCUCAAACUCCUGGGCUCAAGCGAUGCUUCUGCUCUGGCCUCCCACAGUGCUGGGAUUACAGGUGUGAGCCACCAUGCCCAGCCAAAACCAAUUGUUAAACAAGAAAAAUAUUUUUAAAACAUCAGAGUGGAAAAGAUUCUUAAACAAGAUCCUCAAUUCAUAAAUGAAUAAGAGUACACCAAAAUUAAAUAGUUUUGUUCAAAGAAAGAUAGAAUAGACCAUGUUAACACAUGGGUAACAGACUGGAAAGAAAUACAACAUAUAAAAGCAAUAAAGGGAUAAAUAGCUACAAAGAACUUCUGCAGGCCGAGCACAGUGGCUCACGCCUGUAAUCCCAACACUUUGAGAGGCCGAGGCAGGUGGAUCACCUGAGGUCAGGAGUUUGAGAGCAGCCUGGCCAACAUGGUGAAACCCCAUUCUACUAAAAAUACAAAAAUUAGCCCUGCAUGGUGGCGGGCACCUGUAAUCCCAGCUACUCAGGAGGCUGAUGCAUGAGAAUCGCUUGAACCAGGGAGGCGGAGGUUGCAGUGAACCGAGAUCGCGCCGCUGCACUCCAGCCUGGGCAACAGAGUGAGACUGUCUCAAAAAAAAAACUUCUGAUAAUCAGCAAGAUAAAACAGGAAACCCUAAAGGAAAAUAGUCAAAGGCUAUGAGUAGGAAUUUUCUUAAAGAGAUUCUCAAUCUCACCAGAAGAUCACUUGAGGUCAGGAGUUUGAGACCAGCCUGGAACAUGGUGAAACGCUGUCUACUAAAAAUACAAAAAUUAGCUGGGUGGGGUGGUGGGUGUCUGUAAUCCUAGCUACUCCCGACGCUGAUUCAUGAGAAUGCUUGAGCCUGGGAGGCAGAGGUUGCAGUGAGUCAAGAUGGCACCAUCACACUCCAGCCUGGGUGACAGAGCAAGACUCCCUCUCAAAACAAAUGUAAAUAAAUACAUAUAUAUACUGUUUUUAUCUUUCACACUUCUAACCUAAUUAAGGUUUAUUUUUUAUAAGUUGUAUAUAGUAGAGACAUAAUUUAUUUUCUCUUCCAUGAAGCAAGCCAUUUUUCCAUUUUCACUAAAUGACCAUUUCCCCUAGGAUUUGUCAUGCCACCCCCAGGUGAUUCAGCUAUCGUGCAUACUCCAUUCUUUUUUUUUUUUUUUUCCAAACAGAGUCUUGCUCUGUCACCCAAGCUGGAGUGCAGUGGCAUGAUCUCGGCUCACUGCAAUCUCCGCCUCCCAGGUUUAAGCAAUUUUCAUGCCUCAGCUUCCCAAGCAGCUGGGACUACGGGCACGUGCCACCACGCCCGGCUAAUUUUUGUAUUUUUAGGAGAGACAGGGUUUCACCAUGUUGGCAAGGCUGGUCUCGAACUCCUGACCUCAAGUGAUCCUCCUGCCUUGGCCUCCCAAAGUGCUGGGAUUAUAGGUGUGAGCCACUGCUCCUAGCCCACAUUCCGUUCUGUACCAUUCCUGGCUCUGUGCCUUGACUCUCUCCAUUCCCUUGCUCUUUCUCUAUGCCCACUACCCAAAAUACAGAAAUUUAAAAUUUUGUUGGCUGGAUACUGUGUCUUUAUAUUGAUAGGCAAUUCUUUUCUCUUUUCUUUUUCAAUUAUUUAUAUAAUUCUUAUACAUAUAAUAAUAUAGAUAAUUCUUUUUCGAUUAUAUUAGCUAGUGUGUAGAGGUUUAUUUAUUCAUUUAUUUGUCAAAUUGUUGCAAAAAAAUCUUGAUAGGAUCUUUAUUAGUAUUGCACCACAUUUAUAGAUUAACUUUGGAGGACUGAACAAUUCUACAAUGACAAAUUGUCCCAACCAAGAGCAUGAUAUUAAUAUCCAUUUAUGCAGAAGUUAUCUUCUCCUUAUUUAUAUAUUUUUCUCUUUAAUUUAUUUGAAUUUUUUUGAAGUAGUACGUGCGCAUAGUACAUGCAAACAGUAAAAAGGGAUAUCAAUAAAAUAAAUAUAGUUCUGCCCCUGACCUCAGCCCCCGCAGCUUCUCUUCCCAGAGGAAGAGCCAGUUUCUUCCCAAAAGAAGCCAGAGAUUUGCUGCGCAUAUGCAGGCGUUUAUGGAUGUUAUAGGAUGUUAGUUGGGACCCUUCCUGUCAAAAUUUCAGUAGAGGCAAUGAGUCUGUGUAUGUUAUUUCCAAAUAAACCAUCAUGCAAAAACCUUAGCAUAGGUGCAUGCGUCUUUUUUUUAUUUUUUAUUUUGAAACAGAGUCUUGCUGUGUCACCCAGGCUGGAGUGCAGUGGUGCGAUCUCGGCUCACUGCAACCUCCACCUCCUGGGUUCAAGUGAUUCUCCUGCCUCAGCCUCCCACGUAGUUGGGCUUACAGGCCUGUGCCACCUUGCCCAGCUAGUUUUUGUAUUUUUUUAAAAGAAGUCAUAAACAGCAUUUAUUACCUUGGUAUAUCAUACUGGUCUUCUUGCUGUUCCUUCACAUUUAAGUGGCUUUCCAUCUUUCCUGCCUCCUCCCACAGCCUGGUUACACAGUGCAUGCCUGAACUGUUAGCCCUCAGCAGCAAUAUGCUUAUUCCAUCCACAUCCCUAACCUCAUGCAUUCACAAGGUGAAAGUUCUGGUCCACAAACCCUUCCCUACAGGAAGUUCAAUGGUUGCGAAAGAAUCUGUAGUAAACCAGGCCUCCCAGGACGGCGAGCUCCAGUAAGAUGAUGAUGGAAAACAGCAGCUUGUUGGUUGUCACUUUUCUGGACAUUGAACGGAGAAUCUUUCGACUUUUGCUCAAGUUUUCAGUUGUGUUUAUCAGUCUACUCUUGGUGCGUUCUAAAUGGUCUCGUUGUUCCCCCAGCUCUUCUAUGGUUUCUGAGCCAAUCUGGUCAGUCUCCGUGGCAAUCUGAUGAGAACGUUCAAUACUUUGGGUGGCCCGGUUCAGGUUUUCAGGACCUUGCAGAAGCAUUGCCCUUUGAGACUGUAGCCGAUUCAUAUGCUCAUUCUCUACAGCAUAUAUGUCAUAUUUCAUGUCUCCUCGCCCUCCUGGUGUGGCUGUCAAAGGCGUGCUUCUCACCUCCCGAUGGAGUUUGGCAAGGUCCUUCCGGUAGUUUCGAAGCUUAGACGUCAUGGUGUUAUGGAAAGACAGGGGUGCAUAACGUAGCUCCUCCUCCAUCCCUGCCAGCAUUUCAUUUGCUUCCUGUUGCUUUUCAUCAAAAUCCCUGAUCGACUUAUUCUCUUCGGUCCCCGCCGUCCCCAGCAGCUGCUCGGGCACCCCUUGUAGGUCUUCGUGGAGGCCGCGGAAGAUUUCGUGCAGCUUCUUGAAACGCUCGGAGGAGGCGGCGGAGGUGGCCAUGGCGCAGGCCGCGCUCCAGCAGCGGCCACCAAGAUUCGGGGCGCUGGGCCCUCUCCUAGCCCAGCGGUCAGCCGCCCAGCCCCGUGGCUAUCACAGCGACCGCCGCGCCACCGCUGCCCAGGACGAGGCUCUUCUGGGGCGCUAUUUUUUUGUAUUUUUAGUAGAGACGGGGUUUCACCAUGUUGGUCAGGCUGGUCUCGAACUCCUGACCUCAAGUUAUCUGCGUACUCCGGCCUCCUAAAAUGCUAGGAUUACAGGCAUUGAGAGGUGACAGCGUGCUGGCAAGUCCUCACAAUCCUCGCUUGCUCUCGGCGCCUCCUCUGCCUGGGCUCCCACUUUGGCGGCACUUGAGGAGCCCUUCAGCCCACCACUGCACUGUGGGAGCCCCUUUCUGGGCUGGCCAAGGCCGGAGCCCGCUCCCUCAGCUUGCAGGGAGGUGUGGAGGGAGAGGCCCGAGCGGGAACCGGGGCUGCGCGCCGCGCUUGCGGGCCAGCUGGAGUUCCGGGUGGGCGUGGGCUUGGCCCUGCCGGCCCCGGGCAAUGAGGGGCUUAGCACCCGGGCCAGCGGCUGCGGAGGGUGUACUGGGUCCCCCAGCAGUGCCAGCCCACCGGCGCUGCGCUCGAUUUCUCACCGAGUCUUAGCUGCCUUCCUGCGGGGCAGGGCUCGGGACCUGCAGCCCGCCAUGCCUGAGCCUCCCACCCCCUCCAUGGGCUCCUGUGCAGCCCGAGCCUCCCUGACGAGCUCCACCCCCUGCUCCAGGGCACCCAGUCCCAUCGACCACCCAAGGGCUGAGGAGUGCUGCAGGCGCACGGACCCGGGACUGACAGGCAGCUCCACCUGCAGCCCCGGUGGGGGAUCCACUGGGUGAAGCCAGCUGGGCUCCUGAGUCUGGUGGGGACUGGAGAAUCUUUAUGUCUAGCUCAGGGAUUGUAAAUACACCAAUCGGCACUCUGUAUCUAGCUCAAGGUUUGUAAACACACCAAUCGGCACCCUGUGUCUAGCUCAGGGUUUGUGAGUGCACCAAACGACACUCUGUAUCUAGCUACUCUGGUGGGGCCUUGGAGAACCUUUGUGUAGACACUCUGUAUCUAACUAAUCUGGUGGGGACGUGGAGAACCUUUGUGUCUAGCGCAGGGAUUGUAAAUGCACCAAUCAGUGCCCUGACAAAACAGACCACUCGGCUCUACCAAUCAGCAGGACGUGGGUGGGGCCAGAUAAGAGAAUAAAAGCAGGCUGCCCGAACCAGCAUUGGCAACCCGCUGGGGUCCGCUUCCACACUGUGUAGGCUUUGUUCUUUCGCUCUUUGCAAUAACUCUUGCUACUGUGCACUCUUUGGGUCUAUACUGCUUUUAUGAGCUGUAACACUCACCGCGAAGGUCUGCAGCUUCACUCCUGAAGCCAGUGAGACCACGAGCCCACCGGGAGGAACUAACAACUCCAGACGCGCUGCCUUAAGAGCUGUAACACUCACUGCGAAGGUCUGCAGCUUCACUCCUGAGCCAGUGAGACCACGAACCCACCAGAAGAAAGAAACUCCGAACACAUCUGAACGUCAGAAGGAACAAACUCCAGACGUGCCACCUUAAGAACUGUAACACUCACCGAGAGGAUCUGCGGCUUCAUUUUUGAAGGCAGUGAGACCAAGAACCCACCAAUUCCGGACCCAGCAUGAACCACAGAGCCUGGCCAAUAGAUGCGUCUUGAGCCCCUAGUCUCCAUUAAGUAUUUUAAAAGGUAAAUAGAUAGGGAAGAUGACUAUAGAGAUGGCUGUGCGGUGGAGUCCUCCAGCGAAAGAGGGGGCAGAAAACCUCAGGUUGGGAGGGGAGGACUUAGUGGGACCUUUCAGAAAAUCUAAUAUGUUCACCUGUAAUUAAAAAGACAGUGCAUUAACCGAAUCUCACCUAGAAAUCAAGAAAGACAAAGAAGAGAUGACUAGCUCCUGAAAAGGCAGGCACGAAGAAGGGGUCGUCGAUAUUUUGGGAUCAGCCUACAUUCCUGAGUUUGUUAGGCCCAAUGUUGCUUGAGUAUUUCCUGCAGAUCACAUGAAGGCCCCAGAGUCGGGAGCCAUUUAAAAUCCUGACCAAGAGGCACAAUGGGACUCCAUGAGAAAAAUGUCCAUGUGGAGUGGGCCAUGGAAAAUCCUAUUAGUGGUGGAAAUGUCAGCAAGAGGAAAAUACAUUGUCUCAGUCAUGGGAAAUACACCCAUAGAUUCCUAGUAGAGGCCUUUGAAGGACAAAAGCAUUUACUAUAGAAACACUUUUAAACUCCUGCCAGGCCCAAGGAAUGAGAAGUCAUUUUAGUUUUCAGAUUUAAAUCCCUAAUGAUCAACCAUAUGAACACAGUCCUGUUUAAGAAUCAUUCUCUAAUAGUCAUAUCAAAGUCUUUUUAUGGUAAUGUGGAGUAUUAGUAACAAUAGGGCCAGACGCGGUGGCUCUUGCCUGUAAUCUACCACUUUAGGAGGCUGACUCAGGCAGACUGCUUGAGCCCAGGAGUUCGAGACCAGUCUGGGCAACAUGGCGAAACUCUGUUUCCACAAAAAAUACAAUAAAAUUAGCCAGGAAUGGUAGCUUGCAGCUGUAGUCCCACCUACUCAGGAGGUUGAGGUGGGAAGAUCACUUGAGCC